AAAAUAUAUAUAUAUAUAGUCCGCCGUUCGUCGAAUGCCUUAGAAGUGGCUCGAAAUGAAUGAUGAAAGUGCCCGGAAACUCCGAAAAGCGAAACGAAAACUUUCGCUUUAAUUCUCUUAACGUUUCAUCUCGUAAAGCGUUGCUUUACAUAAUUACAUGCAGCCCGUUAACAACUGUCAGAAAAUAAUAUAGCUGCUGCAACGUGUUAAGCCCGUCUUUCCGGUUGCGAUUUGGAAAUUUGCUUGCUCGCUGAUCGAUUUCUUUUUGGAUAAUCCCCAGAGAAGGUACCUCGGAAGGGGCAGGGGAGAGGGGAGAGAGAGUUGACUCGUUUCGUCUUACGUUCGCCCUGACGACGGGCGAACAAGGAUAUAUACGCGAAGAGGCUCGUAAAUCACGAACUCCGUCGCACAGUCGUGUCCGAUCUGAUAUUAAGGAACAGGACAAUGGGCGGAACGGAAGUAAACGGUCGGAGUGGGGGAAGGGAGCGGAGGAUGGCGAGAGGAAGCACAUGGAACACCAAGAGGUAUGAAGGACGCGCUGCUUGCGACUGAACGUGACGCAGUUAUCGGAUGUUAUUGCCAAUACUCCCGUUCGACAACAGGUGCAUGCGAAGAGAAAAUGGUCCGCUCGAAAAUUUAUAGCGGCCAAGAAGACUGGUCACUAAUCAUGACGCUGUUAUUAAAAAGGAUGCUUCGUUUGCGUCUCGAAAUCUCCUCGGCGAUCUCAUUUCCCUAUGUAUCAUCAAAUGUAUACAGCGAUAAUAUUACAUACGGCUUUAUAGUUUUAAUUAUUAUU
Long non-coding RNA from Wasmannia auropunctata (little fire ant), 796 nucleotides. RefSeq lists it as uncharacterized. The record is from RefSeq and is a predicted model, not a curated record. The transcript is spliced from 3 exons. Lineage: Eukaryota; Metazoa; Arthropoda; Insecta; Hymenoptera; Formicidae.